RNAcentral lists this long non-coding RNA (483 nucleotides) under Gallus gallus (chicken). RNAcentral's name for it is "long non-coding RNA NONGGAT005839". Lineage: Eukaryota; Metazoa; Chordata; Aves; Galliformes; Phasianidae. The record is from RNAcentral.
GUCAAAUGGAAGGAGAAGCUCAGGGACAUGAACGAAAGCUCUUAUUCAAAUCAGAAACAGCUGACAGAAUAACAGAGAAAUGGCCAAGAAGACAUCUGGAUGGGGUGCCACUUGAUGACAGGAGACACAACCAGAGAACUUACUCCAGCACGGUGACUAACAUGGAAGGAGAUUCUACUGCAACCUUCACUGGAAUGGCAGCACUGAAGAAAUCACUCCUGGAAAAAACAAGAAUUAUUACAUUACUCUCAGACAUCCUAGAAGGACUAAAGAUGUCAGUGAAACUAUCAGCACAGGUUAGGGAACAAAUACGGAAAGGCAGGAAAAGAGGGCUUUUAAUCAGGAAGAAAAUGCAUGUAGUAUUCUCCAAACUUAAAUCAGAAGUUUUGUACGUGAUGCAGGAUUUAGGUUCAGAUGAGCCUUUCCAAGUUAAUGGAGAUGCACAAAACUGAGUAAAAUAUGGAAAUAAAUCCUUGUAAAAGU